This 1255-nucleotide long non-coding RNA is filed under the name Salmo salar (Atlantic salmon). RNAcentral describes it as "lncRNA (ENSSSAG00000106607.1, ENSSSAG00020082585.1)". The record is from RNAcentral. Lineage: Eukaryota; Metazoa; Chordata; Actinopteri; Salmoniformes; Salmonidae.
GUUAUUUCAUAGUUUUGAUGUCUUCACUAUUAUUCUACAAUGUAGAAAAUAGUAAAAAUAAAGAAACUCUUGAAUGAGUAGGUGUCAACUUUGAUUGAUACUGUAUAUAUAUAUAUAGAACACUGCUUGCCAUUGAUCAGCAUCAUACAUAUGGACAAGUGUUUUUCUGACCAUCUGUCUGACAAGGAAAAACCAUGGGCUGGGGUGUAUUCAUUAUGCCGAUUCUGUUGCAAAAAGGAACAAAACGGGGAGGGACCAAGCUGAAUUUGUCCAAUACAAACUCUGGUUUUAACUGUUUGGACUAAUGAUUACACCCCUGAUAUUGUAGCCCAUAACUAGGGCCCCAAGUUUUUCCUGGCCAGGUCAUGUAGUCAGGAAAAACUGGGCCAAAUCACAGAAUAUAAGCUGACAGGUAGACUAAUUCAAGAGUUAGUUUUUAAUUCUGUCACUAGUUGUUCCUCCCACAACCACACUUCAGUUGCAUUUCCUGUGGUUUAAUGUCCUCUGUCUGAUUUUGGAUACAAUACCAUUUUGUAUGACGGACUGUUUAUAUACAGUGAGCAGAGAGAGAGAGAUUGUUGUAUGUGAUUCACAGCAUAUCCUGGGUCUUGUUCAUUAGGGCAUGCAAUGGAAAGCGUUUUAAAAUGAUUUCUGACAGAAACCAAAAAUGUGUGUUUCUUAUUGGACAAGUCCAAGUAGUCCCUCCAUUUUCUUCAGUUUGGUGCAUAAUGAACACCACCCUGCAUUGUGUGCCUCCACAAGCCUCGGGGGGGGGGAUCCAAUAGACUCUGGGUCUUUACAGUCAGGGAACAGUUCAUACAUGUCUUAUGUUGUGUUGGGAGUAGGGUGUAGUCACUGCCCCUAGUCACUGAUCAGUUUUACAUUUGGCCCAGUAUUGGUUACGGUUAGAUCUGUACUUAGGGGAAACAUCACCACGAAGCAAUAUGUUGCAGGGCUAGGAGUUUUACCUGGAAAAUGGGAUCUGACCAGGAAGAUACUCAAGGCCCCUGAGUUUUUCCCAGCCAGGUUACAUGGUCUAUGGCCCUCAAACUCAACUCUGGACCUCGAAGCAAGUUCCACUGCUUUUUUUCCAUUGUUCCCUUCAUAUCAGGGACUGAUUUAGACCUGGGACACCAGGUGUGUGCAAUUAAUUGUCAGGUAGAACAGAAAACCAGCAGGCUGUUGACAUCGUAGGGUAACAGUUGAAUACCCUGGUCUAUGGGAUCUGACCAGGAAGAUACCUAAAGCCCCCCCC